This 253-nucleotide ribosomal RNA is filed under the name uncultured bacterium. RNAcentral describes it as "partial 16S ribosomal RNA". It matches the Rfam family "Bacterial small subunit ribosomal RNA", at positions 524 to 776 of the family's 1533-position model. The record is from RNAcentral.
UACGUAUGGGGCAAGCGUUAUCCGGAUUUACUGGGUGUAAAGGGAGCGCAGGCGGCCAGGCAAGCCUGAUGUGAAAUACCGGGGCCCAACCCCGGGGCUGCAUUGGGAACUGCCAGGCUGGAGUGCCGGAGAGGCAGGCGGAAUUCCUAGUGUAGCGGUGAAAUGCGUAGAUAUUAGGAGGAACACCAGUGGCGAAGGCGGCCUGCUGGACGGUGACUGACGCUGAGGCUCGAAAGCGUGGGGAGCAAACAGG